AUGGCCUCGCCGCACGCCGACCCGCAGCAGCACCACGCGUCGGCGCCGCCCCUCCUGCUCGCCGUACGCCGCAUCCCGUACCCGGGGGCCCAGCGGCCGCGCGCGCUCCCCGCCCCGGACCUCGCCCCUCUCGCGCGCCGCCUCGACGAGCUCACCGCCGCGGCGGCCGCCCACCCGCUCCUGAAGCCGCUCUUCGACCUCCGCCACCACCUCUCCACCUUCUCUCAGAGCAGGAGGCAGAGGAUGGUGGCGAUGCGGCAGGCGGCGUGCCCGCUGGCCGGCGGCGAGGGCUGCUUCGCGGCGGUGCUGGGCGGGUCCGUGGCCGGCAUGGUGGUGUCCAACGGCGUCAACAGCUUCCUCAGCCUCUACAACACCGUGCUCGUCAUCCGUCUCGUCCUCACCUGGUUCCCCAACACGCCGCCCGCCAUCGUCUCGCCCCUCAGCACGGUGUGUGACCCGUACCUGAACAUCUUCCGGGGCAUCAUCCCGCCGCUGGGAGGGCUGGACCUGUCCCCCAUCCUCGCCUUCCUGGUGCUCAACGCCCUCACCGGCACCGCCGCCGCGCUCCCGGCCGAGCUCCCCGCCCAGAACGCCGCGUCCGGCUCCGUGCACCCUGACGAGCUCACCGCCAACCAGAGGAAAUGGAUGCGGAGAUUCCGCCCGGGGAAAUCGCAAGAGGCUGCUGGUGCUCGCUAG
RNAcentral lists this ribosomal RNA (696 nucleotides) under Triticum aestivum (bread wheat). RNAcentral's name for it is "partial small subunit ribosomal RNA". The record is from RNAcentral. Lineage: Eukaryota; Viridiplantae; Streptophyta; Magnoliopsida; Poales; Poaceae.